AUACGGAGGGGGCUAGCGUUGUUCGGAAUUACUGGGCGUAAAGCGCGCGUAGGCGGCUUGCCAAGUUGGGGGUGAAAUCCCAGGGCUCAACCCUGGAACUGCCCUCAAAACUGGUUCGCUAGAGUCCGGGAGAGGUGAGUGGAAUUCCCAGUGUAGAGGUGAAAUUCGUAGAUAUUGGGAAGAACACCAGUGGCGAAGGCGGCUCACUGGAACGGUACUGACGCUGAGGCGCGAAAGCGUGGGGAGCAAACAGGAUUAGAAACCCCAGUAGUCC
Molecule: ribosomal RNA, 274 nt
Filed under: uncultured bacterium
Lineage: Bacteria
Description: partial 16S ribosomal RNA
Rfam family: Bacterial small subunit ribosomal RNA
Source: RNAcentral